RNAcentral lists this ribosomal RNA (484 nucleotides) under uncultured bacterium. RNAcentral describes it as "partial 16S ribosomal RNA". It matches the Rfam family "Bacterial small subunit ribosomal RNA", at positions 30 to 507 of the family's 1533-position model. The record is from RNAcentral.
AUUGAACGCUGGCGGCAGGCCUAACACAUGCAAGUCGAGCGGAUGAAGGGAGCUUGCUCCUGGAUUCAGCGGCGGACGGGUGAGUAAUGCCUAGGAAUCUGCCUGGUAGGGGGGGAUAACGUCCGGAAACGGGCGCUAAUACCGCAUACGUCCUGCGGGAGAAAGUGGGGGAUCUUCGGACCUCACGCUAUCAGAUGAGCCUAGGUCGGAUUAGCUAGUUGGUGGGGUAAAGGCCUACCAAGGCGACGAUCCGUAACUGGUCUGAGAGGAGGAUCAGUCACACUGGAACUGAGACACGGUCCAGACUCCUACGGGAGGCAGCAGUGGGGAAUAUUGGACAAUGGGCGAAAGCCUGAUCCAGCCAUGCCGCGUGUGUGAAGGAGGUCUUCGGAUUGUAAAGCACUUUAAGUUGGGAGGAAGGGCAGUAAGUUAAUACCUUGCUGUUUUGACGUUACCAACAGAAUAAGCACCGGCUAACUUCGUG